AUUGAACGCUGGCGGCAGGCCUAACACAUGCAAGUCGAACGGUAACAGGAAGCAGCUUGCUGCUUUGCUGACGAGUGGCGGACGGGUGAGUAAUGUCUGGGAAACUGCCCGAUGGAGGGGGAUAACUACUGGAAACGGUAGCUAAUACCGCAUAACGUCGCAAGACCAAAGAGGGGGACCUUAGGGCCUCUUGCCAUCGGAUGUGCCCAGAUGGGAUUAGCUAGUAGGUGGGGUAACGGCUCACCUAGGCGACGAUCCCUAGCUGGUCUGAGAGGAUGACCAGCCACACUGGAACUGAGACACGGUCCAGACUCCUACGGGAGGCAGCAGUGGGGAAUAUUGCACAAUGGGCGCAAGCCUGAUGCAGCCAUGCCGCGUGCAUGAAGAAGGCCUUCGGGUUGUAAAGUACUUUCAGCGGGGAGGAAGGGAGUAAAGUUAAUACCUUUGCUCAUUGACGUUACCCGCAGAAGAAGCACCGGCUAACUCCGUG
RNAcentral lists this ribosomal RNA (490 nucleotides) under uncultured bacterium. RNAcentral describes it as "partial 16S ribosomal RNA". It matches the Rfam family "Bacterial small subunit ribosomal RNA", at positions 30 to 507 of the family's 1533-position model. The record is from RNAcentral.